This 1976-nucleotide long non-coding RNA is filed under the name Homo sapiens (human). Its description in RNAcentral is "HSALNT0355606". The record is from RNAcentral. Lineage: Eukaryota; Metazoa; Chordata; Mammalia; Primates; Hominidae.
AAAAAAAAACGAAACAACAAAAAUAGCAACAACAACAACAAAAACCCACCUCACCUCUGCUGCUACCUCUCAUGCACAGAGCCAACUCGCACGGUAUUUCUGAUGGAGAGUCAUCCAGUCUGUGGAAAGUUUUCACGUCCUGCCGAGAAACCCUCUUCACUGAGACCUGGCCCUCUUCAUUAAGAAAUUCCUGCUUUGUAUAACAAAUGGGUUUUUUUUCAAUGCUCAGACACUCAUCAUCGUCCAAUCUCCUGGAGCCAUGUGGAGGAAAGCACUCCACCUCCCUCAGAACAGAGUUUCAAUAACCGAGGACAGCUUCGACGACUCUCAGCGUCUUCUUCAGGCCAAGCCAGAGCAAACUGGCUCUGCCGUCCUCCGCAGACUGAGCGGUGUCUCCCAACAGCACUCACGUACCACCCACCUCUUCACCUGUGUGGCUGGGCUGACCCUGCCUUCAAGGAACACUUGGCUGAGCUCAUCCCUGACUUGAACAUGGACUUUGCAUGCUACUACACUUUGACCACCAGCCUGACAGUGGCAAGAGAGGAAGAUUGAGGCCCAGGCAGAGGUUUAGGGACCCCUGGCUUCUCGUGCACCACCAGCACCAUUGCCAUUUUCAGAAAGCUGCCUCCUUCCUGGGUCCUCUGAGACAUCAGGUUGAGCAGUAUUGUGGCUGUCAUCAUGAACCUUGUCAUCAGGGACAGGCUCCAGUGUGUUUGAAAUCACAGCCAGGAGACAGAUAGAUUCAAGCCACCUGCGGAGGAGGAAAACCCUGUGAUCAACAAAUGAAGCAAGACGUCCACUGUCCAUGACUGAAACAAGCUGAAGCCACCUGGUUGGAAAGGAAAUGAAAUGAAGCUUGGAGCAAGACCCCGUGAACUUAUCUGCCAUGGCUGCAGGGGUGCCUCCGCUUUGCCAUCCACCCUGGGAACACAGCUGAUGGACUCUGCUCUCGGCCACUGUCCUGGAGGGACCCCUUCCUCUGCCUCCUGUUCAGGUUCCUUAUUUCUUUCGCAAUUGUGGCAGAAGGUGCUGCUGUUUUUCACAGACAUGAGUGGGACAGGGUUUCUCUCCUAAUAUUUAUUUGCCCUCAGAGCAAGGGCUGUUCUGCAUGGACCCAGGAUUUUGAGGAAUAAGAGGAUGUCACUGCGUUUUGGGGGAUUUGGCUGUCUGGCCAGCCUUUGAGUACCGAGUGGAUACAAUAGUAGCAAAGUGAGGUCCUUCAUCACCUGCUGUUUGCACACAUCCAUUCUAGUUCAGCAACAUUUUCUGCUCGUGUGAGCAGUUACCUUUCAUGAAGCCCACGCUCAUUCUGUUAAGGGAUAAUAUUACGUGGUUUUGACCCUCAGGGUAGCCACACAUCCCCUCUGCGAUUGUCCAUUUUACUCAUUUGUUGACUCAAAAAAAUGAGACAGGUGGCAGGGCCUGCAUCGGGGACUUCUCAGUGACCCUCACCUGGAUCCCAGUCAGGCUGGGGUCUCGGGGAAGCAGAAACCCAAGGCUGCCCAGCUCCCCAGGCUUCAUCCUUGCUUGGAACCCAAUAAGAGUUUCCCUUGCUCUUCCUCUCCCUGCUGGAACCAAAUGUACGGAAUUAAAAUCUAGGGUUUUUAAAUUAAUGCUAUCAAUGGCCGGAGAUGCCAGUUCAAGCAUCAAAACCACGUGACAAGCAGCCGUCCACUCAGGCCUCUGCAUGUGGUCCCCGAAGGCCAAGACCAGGGAGAGAGCCGGAAAAUGAAGAAUUGGAGUCUCACAGAUGGGCACCACCUGCGCCUCAGAUAUCGAGAGAAAGGAGGAAGCCGGAGGAGGAAAUGAAGUGUUUAGACUUUAAACAUCAGAGUGGAAAAUUGAAAUAAAUUCAUUACAUCAGCCUACCCUAGUUUAAAUAACAGAAAUGUAUUCUCGACAAGCUUUCAUCCUUUCCUUUCAAUUUAUUACAUUGAUUAACACCCCAAACCAUUAAUUCCAUCUGUGUUUUG